RNAcentral lists this transfer RNA (74 nucleotides) under Cecembia lonarensis LW9. It matches the Rfam family "tRNA". From Rfam's summary of the family: Transfer RNA (tRNA) molecules are approximately 80 nucleotides in length. Their secondary structure includes four short double-helical elements and three loops (D, anti-codon, and T loops). The record is from Rfam by way of RNAcentral. Lineage: Bacteria; Pseudomonadati; Bacteroidota; Cytophagia; Cytophagales; Cyclobacteriaceae.
GGGCCUAUAGCUCAGUCGGUUAGAGCAUCUGACUCAUAAUCAGGGGGUCCCUGGUUCGAGCCCAGGUGGGCCCA